This 1068-nucleotide long non-coding RNA is filed under the name Carassius auratus (goldfish). RNAcentral's name for it is "lncRNA (ENSCARG00000055811.1)". The record is from RNAcentral. Lineage: Eukaryota; Metazoa; Chordata; Actinopteri; Cypriniformes; Cyprinidae.
AUGUUAGAAGACGAAGGGGAUUAUGAGGAGGAAGAGGAAGAUGAGGUGCUUGCUCUUGAAGAGGAGGAGGAAGAAGAAGAAGAAUAUGGGGAUGAAGAGGAAGAAGAGGUAGAAGAAAGUGAUGAGGAGAUCGUAGAGGAGGAAGAAGAGGAGGAGGAAUUAGCAAAGGAAGCAGUGGUGGAGGAAAAGAGAAAAGAGGAGGCUGAAAAAAAGGAGAAUGAGGAAGCUGAUGCUCAUAAUGAGGAAGAAAAAGAAGAUGAAGAGGAGGAAGCAGCAGCAGAAGUUGUGCAGAAGGAGGAGGACAAAGAAAAGGAGGAAGAGGAGGCUGAUGCAGAUGAAGAAAAUGAAGAUGAAAAGAAGGGAGUAGCAGCAGAAGCUGUGCAGAAGGAGGAGGAAACAGAACAAGAAGAAGAGGAAGCUGAUGCUGAGCAGGAAGAAGAACAUGAAGAGGAAGCUGCUGCUCCUGCUGUCAAGAAGAAAGAUACUUCGAUCUCUGCUGAUUCUGAUGAGGAGAAAGAAGAAACUUCAGAACAAGUCACUUCUAAAGAAACCGAGAAAAGAAAAAAAGAUACUCCUGCUGAUGAUAAAGAUGAUGACCAAAAAGAUGACCAAAGCGAGGAAAAAGAUGUUGACGAUGAGGCCCAAGAGGCUGAUAUCGCCAUAGCUGUUGGUAUUAUAGCUGAUGCUGGUGCUACAGUCGCUGAUGUUGAAGUGCAAGAAACUGGUGGAGAUGAGACAACAGUGGUGGCUGAUGAAGAUGGUGACUCUUCACCUGAAAAAGACAUAACAACCCUGAAAGAAGAGGAGAAAGAUGAAAAGGAUGAAAGCGCAGAGGAGGCGGAAAUCGCUGAAAAAGCACCAGAACCAGAACCGGUCCCUAAAGCGGCAGCCAAGGAAGCGAAAGAAAAAGAAGCAGAGGAGCCUGUGGCAGAGGCUGAAAAAGAAGGUCAGUACAUAAUUAAAGUGCUGCUGUUGUCUCCAAAUAGAGAAACUUUUUUAUUUUAUUUUAUUUUAUUUAAAAAGAAGGUCAGAGCAAAAUUACAGUUUAAGUGCUACUACUGUCUCUAA